CUUUCUGGCUUUUAGGAGAAAAAUGCAACGAAUACAUGUUGGGUAUGAACGCCUUAAACUAUGCCAUCGUACGGCUAUGAUGCUAUUGUAGAAAGUUCAGUGGUAAUGGCAGCACCUGCUAGUCCUGUUAUGGCUCCUCUCAGCAUGAUGCACUAACUUUACCGGUGGGAAUCCUCUCCACACGAAAACGAAAGUAAGGACAAGUGUUCAUUGGGAAACCCCAUUUGUCUUCCUUCAUGAAGCAGGAGAGCGAGAGCGGAGUCUCAAAGGAAAGCCUCACUCUGCAGCAACGUGCACCCCUUCAAUCUCACAGCCGAAAAGGAGAUGAAGAAAAUGAGAGGAUUGACAGGAUUUGGCAAACUUGGAAGGACGGACAGCACAAGACGUUUAAUGGAGAAGAACCAGGAGGACGAGGUCAUACCGGACGGGCCCGAGCUGGCUCGCCCCAGCUGCGACACCUCGACCCAGAACCCUCAGAGCAACCACGAGGAAAGUGAGAGACGGAUCACAAGUGAGGAGGCGGCCGAACUUCUCUGCGUGGCCCCCGAUGCUUUGACCUCCGAGGCCGGACCCCCGCAGUCCGUCGUUGGCCUCAUAGAGGUGUUUCUGGAACAGCACUUCCCGAAGAUACCGGCCGACGUGGAGCAGACCUUAAGUCGCCACCUGCUGGAGGUGCAGGAGACGCUGCUCAGGGAGCUCGUGAGGUUGGCCCCCCGACUCCAUUCUGAGGGAUUGUUGGAAUGCUGCCACCAGCAGACAUUUAAACAUCUUGAUCAUCUACUUCGGAUCAUCCGCAUCCCCAGAGAAUUGUUAUUUCUGAUUAACUGGGUCCUACAUACAUAUCUGAGCCGGGACCUGCUUGGUCAUCCUGACCUUCAGUGCACAGAUCCCAUAAAAAAGGUCGACCUCCUGCUGUUAACACGGUGGACGUCCCAAGCGGAGGAAAUAUUGUUUGAAAUUCUGAUGACGGAUAUCGGCCGUUGCCUGGAGAAGAUCCUGCAGAUGGAAAUGAACCACGAUGAUCUUUACGUGGACGCGAUUCAGUGCAUUGACGCCGUGCCCCAAAAUGUCCUCAAAAUCAGCCCACAACUGUCUGAUAAGCUGCAGGAGGGUUGCAUGCGAGAGCUGCUGCGGUUUCUGAAAAAGUUCACGGCGGCGCAGAAGGACCUUCUGAGAAAGAAAGCAAAAAUGGACGAACCAGAAACAAAAGAUUUUUUCAGGAAUUUGAAGAACUGUAAAGGACUCAAGCAGUACAUCCAGGAAAAAGACAAAGAGAAAAAAUACCCUCUCAUGGAAAUCAUUGAAGACAUGGAGGCUUUUACUUUGAAACUCCUGAGGGAAAUCUUCGCUGACAUCGCAGAGGUCAACUUCUUCAACUUCAAUCAAUCAAUCGAAAGCGGCUUAUGUUUUGAGGAAUGUCAAAACUAAUAUUCAUGUUUUGUUCAAUCGCAGAGCCGCCUGAAGAAAUACUUCAAAUCACAGAACAAGGAAUUCUCCCUCUUGCUCGAUGACGUAAGAAGCCUCCUCUCAGGUCUGUCCGACUACGAGGACGUUCAGAUGGUUCGCGGGGUCGCUGGCUGGAACGCCAUGCUGCUGAAAGUCGAAGAUCUGUUGAGCGUCGAGAGUCUUGAUGUGAUGAAAGUGACAGCGGCGGAGAUGCAGAAGGAGUGUCACCCGGGGAGCGGUGACCUGCAGCUCCUGCCCGCGCUGCUGCAGUGGCGAGGUCUCUCCGGAUCCCAGAUCAGGGACGUGCAAUAUGCCAUGAUGGACCUACCCGGCUUUCAACUCCCACCCACGCCUGCUUCCUGCUUCUCCUGCUUCACCUGGUGGCGAAGCUGCUGCACGCCGGAAUCCACGGUUGUCAGCGAGGAGGACGGCUCUCAGAUCUGAUGCAAGGGAGUUGGAAUAAGCUUCAAGUGUACGUUAUGUCACUGGUGUCGCUUCCUUUCAGGUGUCGUUGUCGUAUAAGGAAAUAUACAUAUUUGUCGGGACAUUUGCACAUCGUUGACAGUACCGUUAUGUUUUGUGCAUCAACUUGUUGUAGAUCGGUCAACCUGUGCGCCUCCCGUCUCAUUCUUACUGUAUUUAUGCACAAGGCUAAAGUGCAACAGAAAGGCCGUGACUUGCGUGGAAUGUGGACGCAGGUUUCCGAAGCGAAGCUCAGCGACAGCGGGUUGGGGCCUCGUGACGUUGAGC
This is a long non-coding RNA of Gasterosteus aculeatus aculeatus (three-spined stickleback), 2196 nucleotides long. The record is from Ensembl. Lineage: Eukaryota; Metazoa; Chordata; Actinopteri; Perciformes; Gasterosteidae.